This 484-nucleotide ribosomal RNA is filed under the name uncultured bacterium. RNAcentral describes it as "partial 16S ribosomal RNA". It matches the Rfam family "Bacterial small subunit ribosomal RNA", at positions 30 to 507 of the family's 1533-position model. The record is from RNAcentral.
AUUGAACGCUGGCGGCAGGCCUAACACAUGCAAGUCGAGCGGAUGAAGGGAGCUUGCUCCUGGAUUCAGCGGCGGACGGGUGAGUAAUGCCUAGGAAUCUGCCUGGUAGUGGGGGAUAACGUCCGGAAACGGGCGCUAAUACCGCAUACGUCCUGCGGGAGAAAGUGGGGGAUCUUCGGACCUCACGCUAUCAGAUGAGCCUAGGUCGGAUUAGCUAGUUGGUGGGGUAAAGGCCUACCAAGGCGACGAUCCGUAACUGGUCUGAGAGGAUGAUCAGUCACACUGGAACUGAGACACGGUCCAGACUCCUACGGGAGGCAGCAGUGGGGAAUUUUGGACAAUGGGCGAAAGCCUGAUCCAGCCAUGCCGCGUGUGUGAAGAAGGUCUUCGGAUUGUAAAGCACUUUAAGUUGGGAGGAAGGGCAGUAAGCUAAUACCUUGCUGUUUUGACGUUACCAACAGAAUAAGCACCGGCUAACUUCGUG